This 254-nucleotide ribosomal RNA is filed under the name uncultured bacterium. RNAcentral's name for it is "partial 16S ribosomal RNA". It matches the Rfam family "Bacterial small subunit ribosomal RNA", at positions 524 to 776 of the family's 1533-position model. The record is from RNAcentral.
UACAUGGGUGUGCAAACGUUGCUCGGAAUUAUUGGGCGUAAAGCGCACGUAGGCGGUUCGUUAAGUCGGAUGUGAAAGCCCUCGGCUCAACUGAGGAAGUGCACCCGAAACUGGCGAGCUUGAGUACGAAAGAGGAUCGCGGAAUUCCCGGUGUAGAGGUGAAAUUCGUAGAUAUCGGGAGGAACACCGGUGGCGAAGGCGGCGAUCUGGGUCGAUACUGACGCUGAGGUGCGAAAGCGUGGGGAGCAAACAGG